AAUAAGCGCCAGCACCCGCGCCCUUCCUUUUCAGGUACUUCAAAUUAAAAAUUGCAUAUAAUCUCCUUUUAUCUUUUAACAUUACCCUAAAUUCAUCUGCAGCCACUCUCAUUCUUCUUUUCUCCCACAUUUGAACCCUAGCAGAGAGCAUACUACCCUAGCCAGUAGCCACCGACGGUUAAAAGCUCCUCAUUGACCAUGGCGGUUCAUGGUAGCGGCCAACAGUCCCUUACUCAUGGCGGCAACCAGCAACCCCAAGCCUGCUCCCACACCACCAUUUUCGAUUUUUGCCCGGCUAUCACUGUUCGUUACUUCCAUUGUCAGACGUCUUCUCCGCCAUCGUUAGUGAUCUUUUCUACCAUCCUCAGUCCUUUUCUCCAUGGUUUGCAGGAAAGAAGCUCUCUCUUAUUGACUCCGCCACUGUCAGCGGCAGCGCUCAUUGUCACUCCGACGAACCCCGCAAUAGCUCUUAGGCUCUACACCACCAUUUUCCACCGACUCCUCCGUGAGGUCGUUAUUGCCGCCAACAUUGCUUUCGGAGUUCGAUUGAAGAUUGAAAGGGUAAAGUAGUAAGAGCUGAGCAUUUACAAAUUUUGAUGUUUGGUGAAACAGAACCUACAGUUCAAGAACCUUCUCUCAUCAUGGUCCCGCACGACCAUUAAUUGAAGCUCAAACACAACUGAAGCACAAGAAGGAAUCUGUGAAGAAAAAGCAUCCACAGCUUCAUUAUGAAUCAAAUAUAUAUGCUUCUUCAAGAAGGGAUUGGGAUUCUCCACCUAAAGUGGUUUGGAGUUGAAGGAGACUACAACAUUAUGGCUAUUGACCUUUUUGGACCAAGCUUGGAAGAUUUAUUCAAUUAUUACAACAGGAAGUUUACACUGAAGACAGUGUUAAUGCUUGCUGAUCAAUUAGUAAGUCUACAUGUCAACUAUUAUAAUCAAACAAGAAUCACAUGAUGUUGUGUAGUGUAGUGCAGUGCCUUUGAUUUUGACUGUUGUUGGAUUCUUUAUAAUUAUGAAAAUUCUUUUCUUUUCUUUUUUGUUGAAUUUCUUGUUACUUUUUUGGUGAUCAUCUUCUAUAAAUCCAUUUAUGGAAUUUUUCAUCAUGGGUUAGUUUGGCUUAUAGUUCUAUGACCUCAUGUAUGGACACAAAAUUUUCCAUUUUUCUAUUGAUUCAUAUUACUUUUCCGUAAUCUGCAGAACUGAUGAGGUAAUCAACACUCAAUUGAUGGUUUCUCGGUAAAUUCUCCAAAAAUGGGUCAAGCAUUUUUCUCCAUAUUUCAGCUGGAAACAAAGAGGU
Arachis ipaensis is the source of this 1299-nucleotide non-coding RNA. The record is from RefSeq and is a predicted model, not a curated record. NCBI's taxonomy places the organism in Eukaryota, Viridiplantae, Streptophyta, Magnoliopsida, Fabales, Fabaceae.